UACGUAGGGGGCAAGCGUUGUCCGGAAUCAUUGGGCGUAAAGGCAGCGCGUGACGGCGGCCCUCGUAAGUCCGCUGAUGAAAGUCAAAGGGGCUCAACCCCUUGAAUGCCGGUGGAUACUGCAGGGCUAGAGUCCGGAAGAGGCGAGUGGAAUUCCUGGUGUAGCGGUGAAAUGCGCAGAUAUCAGGAGGAACACCGAUGGCGAAGGCAGCUCGCUGGGACGGUACUGACGCUGAGGCGCGAAAGCGUGGGGAGCAAACAGG
Molecule: ribosomal RNA, 262 nt
Filed under: uncultured bacterium
Lineage: Bacteria
Description: partial 16S ribosomal RNA
Rfam family: Bacterial small subunit ribosomal RNA
Source: RNAcentral